AAGGAGCACCACGAGACCUGUGACCCGCCCACAUCGUGUGGGGGUUCGGAGAUCCAGGCGAUUCUGUGGAUGGCUUUCACCUGUAGUGGGUGAGGGUCUGGUGCACAACAAACGUGUUGUGGCUCAAGGGAAAUUGAGUCAUGCGGGAAAUCAUCGGACACACUAUUGGGCUUUGAGGCAACAAGCCCGCUAUCUCUUCGUCCCGAGUGUGGGAAACCGGGGAUAGGGAUUGGUUGUCGCCCUGCUUUGGUGGUGGGGUGUGGUGUUUGAUUUGUGGAUAGUGGUUGCGAGCAUCUCGCAUGUGAGGGCGCCGGCUCCUUCGGGGGUUGGUGUUUUUGUGUGCGUGAUAAUGCAAUUUUUGAUUCUUCCGAGAAUUUUUAACUGUUUUGUG
Molecule: unclassified non-coding RNA, 391 nt
Filed under: Mycobacterium gallinarum
Lineage: Bacteria; Bacillati; Actinomycetota; Actinomycetes; Mycobacteriales; Mycobacteriaceae
Description: partial 16S-23S ribosomal RNA intergenic spacer
Source: RNAcentral